This 449-nucleotide ribosomal RNA is filed under the name uncultured bacterium. RNAcentral describes it as "partial 16S ribosomal RNA". It matches the Rfam family "Bacterial small subunit ribosomal RNA", at positions 29 to 523 of the family's 1533-position model. The record is from RNAcentral.
AACGAACGCUGGCGGCAGGCUUAACACAUGCAAGUCGAACGAGAUCUUCGGAUCUAGUGGCAGACGGGAGAGGAACACGUGGGAACAUCCCUUUCAGUUCGGAAUAACGUUGGGAAACUAACGCUAAUACCGGAUACGUCCUUCGGGAGAAAGAUUUAUCGCUGAAAGAUUGGCCCGCGUCUGAUUAGCUAGUUGGUGAGGUAAUGGCUCACCAAGGCUACGAUCAGUAGCUGAUCUGAGAGGAUGAUCAGCCACAUUGGGACUGAGACACGGCCCAAACUCCUACGGGAGGCAGCAGUGGGGAAUAUUGGACAAUGGGCGCAAGCCUGAUCCAGCCAUGCCGCGUGAGUGAUGAAGGCCUUCGGGUUGUAAAGCUCUUUUAUCCGGGAAGAUAAUGACUGUACCGGAAGAAUAAGCCCCGGCAAACUUCGUGCCAGCCGCCGCUGUAA